UCAAGAAACUUCCACAAUGGGCGAAAGCCUGAUGGAGCGACGUCGCGUGAUGGACGAAGUGCUUCGGCACGUAAACAUCUUUUUAUGUGGGAUGAAAUUAUUGACAGUACCACAUGAAUAAGGGGCUCCUAACUCUGUGCCAGCAGGAGCGGUAAUACAGAGGCCCCAAGCGUUAUCCGGAAUCACUGGGCGUAAAGGGUGUCGAGGCGGUUGUAUUAGUCGUUCGUAAAAUCUACGAGCUUAACUUGUAGGCGGCGAACGAAACGGUACGACUUGAGGUUUGGAGAGGUGCGUGGAACUCACGGUGUAGGGGUGAAAUCCGUUGAUAUCGUGGGGAACACCAAAGGCGAAGGCAGCGCACUGGCCAAAAUCUGACGCUCACACACGAAAGCUAGGGUAGCGAAGAGGAUUAGAUACCCCAGUAGUCCCUGAGCGGGCUGGCAAGGCGCAU
Molecule: ribosomal RNA, 451 nt
Filed under: uncultured bacterium
Lineage: Bacteria
Description: bacterial SSU rRNA
Rfam family: Bacterial small subunit ribosomal RNA
Source: RNAcentral